This is a non-coding RNA of Chelonoidis abingdonii (Abingdon island giant tortoise), 329 nucleotides long. Lineage: Eukaryota; Metazoa; Chordata; Testudines; Testudinidae. The record is from RefSeq and is a predicted model, not a curated record.
GCCCCUGUGACCUCUCCUGGAGACUUGGCCCCUCGCUCGCCUUGGGCUCUCCCUGAGAACUGGUCCCUCGCUGCCCUGGUGGUUCCCUGAACUGGCCCCUCGCUUGGCCCCUGUGACCUCCCUGGCUGCCCCUCGCUGCCCUGGGUCUCCCGAGACUGGCCCCUCGCUGCCUGGGUCUCCGAGACUGACCCCUCACUGCCCCUUGUUCUCCCCGAGACUGGCCCUCGCUGCCUCUGUGGGUCUCCCCGAGACGUACCCCGUCACUUGGCCCUUGUGACCUCCUGAGACUGGCCUCUCGCUGCCCCUGGGUCUCCCGAGAACCGACUCAC